GUACUGCUGAAGAGUCCCAAACUAGGACGAAACGGCUGUCCAGUAA
Molecule: non-coding RNA, 46 nt
Filed under: Trichobilharzia regenti
Lineage: Eukaryota; Metazoa; Platyhelminthes; Trematoda; Strigeidida; Schistosomatidae
Source: RNAcentral